Molecule: unclassified non-coding RNA, 440 nt
Filed under: uncultured Thelephoraceae
Lineage: Eukaryota; Fungi; Basidiomycota; Agaricomycetes; Thelephorales; Thelephoraceae
Description: sequence contains ITS2
Rfam family: 5.8S ribosomal RNA (bases 1-155)
Source: RNAcentral
AACUUUUGGCAACGGAUCUCUUGGCUCUCGCAUCGAUGAAGAACGCAGCGAAAUGCGAUAAGCAAUGUGCAUUGCAGAAUUCAGUGAAUCAUCGAAUCUUUGAACGCACCUUGCGCCCUUUGGCCAUUCCGAAGGGCAUGCCUGUUUGAGUAUCAUGAACACCUCAACUCUUCAUGGUUUUUCUGCGAUGAGCUUGGACUUUGGGGCCUUUGUUGGCCUAUGGGCGGCUCCUCUAAAAUGAAUCAGCUUGCCAGUGUUUGGUGGGCAUCACAGGUGUGAUAACUAUCUACGCUUGUGGUUUUCCACCAGGUAACCUUCAGCAAUGGAGGUUCACUGGAGCUCACAGAUGUCUCUCCUCGGUGAGGAUGACCCUUUGAAUGUUUGAUCUCAAAUCAGGUAGGACUACCCGCUGAACUUAAGCAUAUCAAUAAGCGGAGGCU